RNAcentral lists this ribosomal RNA (781 nucleotides) under uncultured bacterium. RNAcentral's name for it is "bacterial SSU rRNA". It matches the Rfam family "Bacterial small subunit ribosomal RNA", at positions 56 to 823 of the family's 1533-position model. The record is from RNAcentral.
UGCAAGUCGAACGGACUCCCGGAUGGGUAACCUGAAGGGAAGUUAGUGGCGAACGGGUGAGUAAUAGAAGGACAACGUACCCCGGACUCGGGAAUAGCGGCGUGUUUCGACUUGUCGGAACACUUUGCGAAAGUGCCGGUAAUACCCGAUAAUCCCGCGAAACCGCCUGGUUUUGCGGGCAAAGCUCCGACGGUCCGGGAGCGGUCCUUCUCCUAUCAGCUUGUUGGUGGGGUAACGGCCUACCAAGGCAACAACGGGUACCGGGUGUGAGAGCAUGACCCGGCACAUCGGAACUGAGACACUGUCCGGACACCUACGGGUGGCUGCAGCAACGAAUAUUCCGCAAUGGGCGAAAGCCUGACGGAGCGACGCCGCGUGCAGGAGGAAGUCCUUCGGGAUGUAAACUGCUGUCAGGGGCUAGAAACACAAUGAUCAGCCCCACAGGAAGCCCCGGCUAACUACGUGCCAGCAGCCGCGGUAAUACGUAGGGGGCAAGCGUUGUUCGGAAUUACUGGGCUUAAAGCGCGUGCAGGCGGAAUGGCAGGUCUUCUGUGAAAUCCCUCGGCUCAACCGAGGAAUUGCUGGGGAAACCGCCAUUCUUGAGGCAGGUAGAGGCGACUGGAACGCGUGGUGGAGCGGUGAAAUGCGUAGAUAUCACACGGAACGCCGGUGGCGAAAGCGAGUCGCUGGGCCUGUCCUGACGCUCAGACGCGAAAGCGUGGGGAGCAAACAGGAUUAGAUACCCUGGUAGUCCACGCCGUAAACGAUGCGCACUAGAUAC